RNAcentral lists this ribosomal RNA (254 nucleotides) under uncultured bacterium. RNAcentral describes it as "partial 16S ribosomal RNA". It matches the Rfam family "Bacterial small subunit ribosomal RNA", at positions 524 to 776 of the family's 1533-position model. The record is from RNAcentral.
UACGUAGGGGGCAAGCGUUUGUCCGGAAUCAUUGGGCGUAAAGAGCGCGUAGGCGGCCCGAUAAGUCCGCUGUGAAAGUCAAGGGCUCAACCCUUGAAUGCCGGUGGAUACUGUCGGGCUAGAGUCCGGAAGAGGCGAGUGGAAUUCCUGGUGUAGCGGUGAAAUGCGUAGAUAUCGAGAGGAACACCUGCGGCGAAGGCGGGUUGCUGGGCUGAUACUGACGCUGAGGAGCGAAAGCGUGGGGAGCGAACAGG